UAUCAGCCUUUUGGGCAUGAUUCUGUGGAGCGUGAGGAGUUAAACGCCUUCAUGCCUGCAUAUUCGUGUACUUUGGGUGUACUUGCCUGUGUGGUUAGUUAACAUCAAUUUUGGUUAUCAUAAAAUGGUUGGAGGAAUGUAGCUUCGAUUUCGAUUGAAGUGUUAUAGCCUUCGGCAGAUGUGAUGAUCGGGAUUGAGGAUUGCAACGGAUACCCUUCGGGGCUACCUGUCUGGUCUCUGAUCGCUGCUCUGGUGCCGAAAGCGUGCUUACGGUUAUCAAAGUCGAUGGUCAAUAGGUUAGAACGGGUUAAAUUCGUUAAGGAUGUUGACGUA
Molecule: ribosomal RNA, 333 nt
Filed under: uncultured Glomeromycotina
Lineage: Eukaryota; Fungi; Glomeromycota
Description: eukaryotic LSU rRNA
Source: RNAcentral